RNAcentral lists this ribosomal RNA (2229 nucleotides) under Dixa sp. Dix1. Its description in RNAcentral is "bacterial LSU rRNA". It matches the Rfam family "Bacterial large subunit ribosomal RNA", at positions 33 to 2309 of the family's 2925-position model. Lineage: Eukaryota; Metazoa; Arthropoda; Insecta; Diptera; Dixidae. The record is from RNAcentral.
UUGGCGAUCACAGGCGAUGAAGGACGUAGUAGCUUGCGAUAAGCUGCGGGGAGCUGGCAAACAAGCUUUGAUCCGCAGAUUUCCGAAUGGGGAAACCCACCACGUAAGUGGUAUCCUUGACUGAAUACAUAGGUCAUGGAGGCGAACCGGGUGAACUGAAACAUCUCAGUAACUCGAGGAAAAGAAAUCAACCGAGAUUCCGAUAGUAGCGGCGAGCGAAAUCGGAGCAGCCUGUACGAGAUAGUCGUUGUCAUAGAAGAACGGAUUGGAAACUCCGGCCAUAGCAGGUGAUAGCCCUGUAUUCGAAAUGUCAACGGUGGUACUAAGCGUAGAACAAGUAGGGCGGGACACGUGAAAUCCUGUCUGAACAUGGGGGGACCAUCCUCCAAGGCUAAAUACUCGUGAUCGACCGAUAGUGAACCAGUACCGUGAGGGAAAGGCGAAAAGAACCGCGGUGAGCGGAGUGAAAUAGAUCCUGAAACCGUGUGCAUACAAACAGUAGGAGCGGGCUUGUCCCGUGACUGCGUACCUUUUGUAUAAUGGGUCAGCGACUUACAUUCAGUGGCAAGCUUAACCGAUUAGGGAAGGCGUAGCGAAAGCGAGUCCGAAUAGGGCGUCAAGUCGUUGGGUGUAGACCCGAAACCAAGCGAUCUAUCCAUGGCCAGGUUGAAGGUACGGUAACACGUACUGGAGGACCGAACCCACUAAUGUUGAAAAAUUAGGGGAUGAGCUGUGGAUAGGGGUGAAAGGCUAAACAAGCUUGGAAAUAGCUGGUUCUCCCCGAAAACUAUUUAGGUAGUGCCUCAAGUAUUACUCCAGGGGGUAGAGCACUGUUAUGGCUAGGGGGUCAUAGAGACUUACCAAACCAUUGCAAACUCCGAAUACCUGGAAGUAGAGCUUGGGAGACAGAGCACCGGGUGCUAACGUCCGGACUCAAGAGGGAAACAACCCAGACCGCCAGCUAAGGUCCCCAAAUAUAGCUAAGUGGGAAACGAAGUGGGAAGGCAUAGACAGUCAGGAAGUUGGCUUAGAAGCAGCCAUCCUUUAAAGAAAGCGUAAUAGCUCACUGAUCGAGUCGUCCUGCGCGGAAGAUGUAACGGGGCUAAGCUAUAUACCGAAGCUGCGGAUUUGCAAUUAUAUUGCAAGUGGUAGGGGAGCGUUCUGUAAGCCUGCGAAGGUGGCUUGUAAAGGCUGCUGGAGGUAUCAGAAGUGCGAAUGCUGACAUGAGUAGCGAUAAAGGGGGUGAAAAGCCCCCUCGCCGUAAGUCCAAGGUUUCCUACGCAACGUUCAUCGGCGUAGGGUGAGUCGGCCCCUAAGGCGAGGCAGAGAUGCGUAGCUGAUGGGAAGCAGGUUAAUAUUCCUGCACCGAAUUACAAUGCGAUGGGGGGACGGAUCGCGGAAUCAUGCGUGGACUGUUGGAUGUCCAUGGCUGGGUCAAAGAAGGCGCUUAGGUAAAUCCGGGCGCGUAAUUCAAGGGCUUGGCCGCAGUUAACUACGGUUAGCAAUGCGUGAGGAAGGGGUCCCAAGAAAAGCCUCUAAGCUUCAGUUGUAAUCGACCGUACCGCAAACCGACACAGGUGGACGGGAUGAAUAUUCUUAGGCGCUUGAGAGAACUCGGGAGAAGGAACUCGGCAAAUUGAUACCGUAACUUCGGGAUAAGGUAUGCCCAUGGGGGUGUAGAGCCUGCGCUCGAAGCCUCUGUGGGUCGCAGAUAAUAGGUGGCUGCGACUGUUUAAUAAAAACACAGCACUCUGCAAACACGAAAGUGGACGUAUAGGGUGUGACGCCUGCCCGGUGCCGGAAGGUUAAUUGAUGGGGUGCAAGCCCUUGAUCGAAGCCCCGGUGAACGGCGGCCGUAACAAUAACGGUCCUAAGGUAGCGAAAUUCCUUGUCGGGUAAGUUCCGACCUGCAUGAAUGGCGUAACGAUGGCCACACUGUCUCCUCCCGAGACUCAGCGAAGUUGAAAUGUUUGUGAUGAUGCAAUCUACCCGCGGCUAGACGGAAAGACCCCAUGAACCUUUACUGUAGCUUUACAUUGAGCUGUGAACCGGUCUGUGUAGGAUAGGUGGGAGGCGCUGAAGCGAGGACGCUAGUUCUUGUGGAGCCGUCCUUGAAAUACCACCCUGGUUUGUUUGCGGUUCUAACCUAGGCCCGUUAUCCGGGUCGGGGACAGUGUAUGGUGGGCAGUUUGACUGGGGCGGUCUCCUCCUAAAGAGUAACGGAGGAGU